Molecule: ribosomal RNA, 405 nt
Filed under: uncultured bacterium
Lineage: Bacteria
Description: partial 16S ribosomal RNA
Rfam family: Bacterial small subunit ribosomal RNA
Source: RNAcentral
GAUGAACGCUGGCGGCGUGACUAAUACAUGCAAGUCGAGCGAAGCGGGGACGGUUGAGUAACACGUGGAUAACCUCCUAUAAGACUGGGUUAACUUCGGGAAACCGGAGCUAAACCGGAUCCUUAUAGAUGGAUCCGCGCUGCAUUAGCUAGUUGGUAAGGUAACGGCUUACCAAGGCAACGAUGCAUAGCCGACCUGAGAGGGGAAUCGGCCGCACUGGAACUGAGACACGGUCCAGACUGCGACGGGAGGCGGCAGUAGGAAAUCUUCCGCAAUGGGCGAAAGCCUGACGGAGAAACGACGCGGGAGUGAUGAAGGUCUUCGGAUCGUAAAAAUCUGUUAUUAGGGAAGCGGUAAAUAAUCAGAAAGCCACGACUAACUACGUGCCAGCAGCCGAGGUAAUAC